GUCCUAGCCGUAAACAAUGGGCACUAGGUGUUGUCGGUAUCGACCCCGGCAGUGCCGAAGCUAACGCAUUAAGUGCCCCGCCUGGGGAGUACGACCGCAAGGUUAAAACUCAAAGGAAUUGACGGGGCCCGCACAAGCAGCGGAGCGUGCGGUUUAAUUCGAUGGUACGCGAAGAACCUUACCCAGACUUGACAUGCGAGUGGUAGGAACCUGAAAAGGGAACCGACCCGCAAAGGGAGCUCGUACAGGUGUUGCACGGCUGUCGU
Molecule: ribosomal RNA, 266 nt
Filed under: uncultured bacterium
Lineage: Bacteria
Description: partial 16S ribosomal RNA
Rfam family: Bacterial small subunit ribosomal RNA
Source: RNAcentral